Molecule: non-coding RNA, 73 nt
Organism: Dallia pectoralis (Alaska blackfish)
Lineage: Eukaryota; Metazoa; Chordata; Actinopteri; Esociformes; Umbridae
Source: the annotation of a GenBank genome assembly
GGAGUGGGUAGUUCAGUGGUAGAGUACAUGCUUUGUAUGUACAAUGUCCUGGGUUCAAUCCCCAGCUUCUCCC